GGAAACUCAGGCUAAUACCGGCAUACGCCCCCAAGGGGGAAAGCAGGGGAUUUUCGGACCUUGCGCUAUCGGAUGAGCCUAUGUCGGAUUAGCUUGUUGGUGAGGUAAUGGCUCACCAAGGCCGCGAUCCGUAGCUGGUCUGAGAGGAUGAUCAGCCACAUCGGGACUGAGACACGGCCCGAACUCCUACGGGAGGCAGCAGUGGGGAAUAUUGGACAAUGGGCGAAAGCCUGAUCCAGCCAUGCCGCGUGUGUGAAGAAGGCCCUCGGGUUGUAAAGCACUUUCAGUGAGGAAGAAGGCUUGUGGGCUAAUACCCCGCAAGAAGGACAUCACUCACAGAAGAAGCACCGGCUAACUCCGUGCCAGCAGCCGCGGUAAUACGGAGGGUGCGAGCGUUAAUCGGAAUUACUGGGCGUAAAGCGCGCGUAGGCGGCUUGAUAAGCCGGUUGUGAAAGCCCCGGGCUCAACCUGGGAACGGCAUCCGGAACUGUCAGGCUAGAGUGCAGGAGAGGAAGGUAGAAUUCCCGGUGUAGCGGUGAAAUGCGUAGAGAUCGGGAGGAAUACCAGUGGCGAAGGCGGCCUUCUGGACUGACACUGACGCUGAGGUGCGAAAGCGUGGGUAGCAAACAGGAUUAGAUACCCUGGUAGUCCACGCCGUAAACGAUGUCGACUAGCCGUUGGGGUCCUUGAGACCUUUGUGGCGCAGUUAACGCGAUAAGUCGACCGCCUGGGGAGUACGGCCGCAAGGUUAAAACUCAAAUGAAUUGACGGGGGCCCGCACAAGCGGUGGAGCAUGUGGUUUAAUUCGAUGCAACGCGAAGAACCUUACCUACCCUUGACAUCGUGCGAACUUUCCAGAGAUGGAUUGGUGCCUUCGGGAACGCACAGACAGGUGCUGCAUGGCUGUCGUCAGCUCGUGUUGUGAAAUGUUGGGUUAAGUCCCGUAACGAGCGCAACCCUUGUCCCUAUUUGCCAGCGAUUCGGUCGGGAACUCUAGGGAGACUGCCGGUGA
This 1012-nucleotide ribosomal RNA is filed under the name Halomonas sp. RNAcentral describes it as "bacterial SSU rRNA". It matches the Rfam family "Bacterial small subunit ribosomal RNA", at positions 152 to 1158 of the family's 1533-position model. Lineage: Bacteria; Pseudomonadati; Pseudomonadota; Gammaproteobacteria; Oceanospirillales; Halomonadaceae. The record is from RNAcentral.